UAGGGAAUAUUGCAAAAUGGGCGGAAGCCCGAUGCAGCAACGCCGCGUGGGCGAUGAAGGCCUUCGGGUCGUAAAGCCCUUUUUGAGGGGAUGAGGAAGGACAGUACCCUCAGAAUAAGCCUCGGCUGACUACGUGCCAGCAGCCGCGGUAAAACGUAGGAGGCGAGCGUUAUCCGGAUUUACUGGGCGUAAAGCGCGUGCAGGCGGAUUGGAGAGUUGGAUGUGAAAGCUCCCGGCUUAACUGGGAGAGGUCGUUCAAUACUUCCAGUCUUGAGUGCAGUAGAGGGAAGUGGAAUUCCGGGUGUAGUGGUGAAAUGCGUAGAUAUCCGGAGGAACACCAGUGGCGAAAGCGGCUUCCUGGACUGUAACUGACGCUCAGACGCGAAAGCUAGGGUAGCAAACG
RNAcentral lists this ribosomal RNA (403 nucleotides) under uncultured bacterium. RNAcentral's name for it is "bacterial SSU rRNA". It matches the Rfam family "Bacterial small subunit ribosomal RNA", at positions 355 to 774 of the family's 1533-position model. The record is from RNAcentral.